CGUCAGGAUGAACGCUAGCUACAGGCUUAACACAUGCAAGUCGAGGGGCAGCAUUGGGAGUAGCUUGCUAUUCAGAUGGCGACCGGCGCGACGGUGAGUAACGCGUAUCCAACCUUCCUGCCAGUAGGGAACAGCCCGGCGAAAGUCGGAUUAAUGCCCUAUGUUCUUCAAUGCGGACAUCUAAGUUGAAGGAAAGAUUCAUCGCUGGCAGAUGGGGAUGCGUCCGAUUAGCUUGCCGGCGGGGUAACGGCCCACCGGGGCGACGAUCGGUAGGGGUUCUGAGAGGAAGGUCCCCCACACUGGUACUGAGACACGGACCAGACUCCUACGGGAGGCAGCAGUGAGGAAUAUUGGUCAAUGGGCGUAAGCCUGAACCAGCCAAGUAGCGUGCAGGGUGACGGCCCUACGGGUUGUAAACUGCUUUUGCGGGAGGAUAAAUGACGCCACGUGUGGCGUUUUGCAGGUAUCCCGUGAAUAAGGACCGGCUAAUUCCGUGCCAGCCGCCGC
RNAcentral lists this ribosomal RNA (507 nucleotides) under uncultured bacterium. Its description in RNAcentral is "bacterial SSU rRNA". It matches the Rfam family "Bacterial small subunit ribosomal RNA", at positions 22 to 518 of the family's 1533-position model. The record is from RNAcentral.